CCUUGACAUACUAAGAACUUUCCAGAGAUGGAUUGGUGCCUUCGGGAACUUAGAUACAGGUGCUGCAUGGCUGUCGUCAGCUCGUGUCGUGAGAUGUUGGGUUAAGUCCCGNAACGAGCGCAACCUUUUCCUAUUUGCCAGCGGGUCAUGCCGGGAACUUUAAGGAUACUGCCAGUGACAAACUGGAGGAAGGCGGGGACGACGUCAAGUCAUCAUGGCCCUUACGGCCAGGGCUACACACGUGAUACAAUGGUCGGUACAAAGGGUUGCUACCUCGCGAGAGGAUGCUAAUCUCAAAAAGCCGAUCGUAGUCCGGAUCGCAGUCUGCAACUCGACUGCGUGAAGUCGGAAUCGCUAGUAAUCGCGGAUCAGAAUGCCGCGGUGAAUACGUUCCCGGGCCUUGUACACACCGCCCGUCACACCAUGGGAGUUUGUUGCACCAGAAGUAGGUAGUCUAACCGCAAGGAGGACGCUUACCACGGUGUGGCCGAUGACUGGGGUGAAGUCGUAACAAGGUAAGCGUAGAUGA
RNAcentral lists this ribosomal RNA (529 nucleotides) under uncultured bacterium. Its description in RNAcentral is "bacterial SSU rRNA". It matches the Rfam family "Bacterial small subunit ribosomal RNA", at positions 979 to 1509 of the family's 1533-position model. The record is from RNAcentral.